Molecule: ribosomal RNA, 253 nt
Filed under: uncultured bacterium
Lineage: Bacteria
Description: partial 16S ribosomal RNA
Rfam family: Bacterial small subunit ribosomal RNA
Source: RNAcentral
UACGUAGGUGGCAAGCGUUGUCCGGAAUUACUGGGCGUAAAGCGCACGUAGGCGGAUACUUAAGUUAGGGGUGAAAUCCCAGAGCUCAACUCUGGAACUGCCUCUAAUACUGGGUAUCUCGAGUUCGAGAGAGGUGAGUGGAAUUCCGAGUGUAGAGGUGAAAUUCGUAGAUAUUCGGAGGAACACCAGUGGCGAAGGCGGCUCACUGGCUCGAUACUGACGCUGAGGUGCGAAAGCGUGGGGAGCAAACAGG